RNAcentral lists this long non-coding RNA (1368 nucleotides) under Oryctolagus cuniculus (rabbit). RNAcentral's name for it is "lncRNA (ENSOCUG00000033387.1)". Lineage: Eukaryota; Metazoa; Chordata; Mammalia; Lagomorpha; Leporidae. The record is from RNAcentral.
AUAUUUCAUGCACAAUCUCCAAAAGCUAAAUAGGGACCCUAUUGCAAAACCUACCCAUCUGUGAGUAGAACUGAAGUGGGAAGAAGCAAACAGAAACAGCUCCUGUGCCUCGUGGUUCUUACCAGCUAAGGGCUGCUUCUAGGGCCUGAUUCUGACACUGGGAGGAGGUGCUCACUCACCCAUGUGAACAAGGAACAGACCUCUGGAUUCAUCCACGUGUCUCCCAUGGAUCCAGGAAGUACCAAGGGCACCUCAUUGCCUGGGGCUAGACAUGAUCUGACUGCAGUGUCACAGUGCUUAGGUCACAAUGGAAGGUCUUCAACAUUGGACUCAAGGCAGCACAAGACUAAUCAACAAGAAUUGGGUCACAGAGGGAACAGGAACAUUGACAUGAAGAAAAGCAUUUAUAUUUCAUAAUAUUUCAAAUAGAAAAACUAUUUUUUUCUCUUCACUACAGAACAGGAUAUUUGAGUGCCUUCUACUGCAUUUUUCCAAAUGAAUGGCUCAGCUGCAUGGGGUAAAGUUUUCCUGCUAUUUAACAAAAGCCAACAUAUUUGCAAUCCUUUGUGGACUGGUAGUUUUGUGAAAUGUAGGACAAAGCUGAGAUCCAGAUACUGAGAUGAUUAUGCUGAGACCCAUGUGUAGGGGGAGUCUGAACCAAACUCAGAGAGCUGGGGGUUUGCUGAACUUUUCCAGAACAGAGCAUCCAUGAGAGUCUGAAGGGUCAGGAAUCGCAGACGGGAACAGAAGACAAAAAUGUCCACAUGAGGCCCAGGUAUCUUAUCUUUCUACUCAACCACAUGCCUCCUCUCCUUCUCAACGUUUAAAUCUUUGCUCAAACACACUCUUGUUUUUUUUUUUAAAGGUUUAUUUUAUUUAUUUGAAAGAGUUACAGAGAGAGGUAGAGACAGAGAGAGAGGUAUUCCAUCUGCUGGUUCACACCUCAGAUUGCUGCAAUGGCCGAUGCUGUGCCAAUCCGAAGCCAGGAGCCAGGAACUUCUUCCGGGUCUCCCAUGUGGGUGCAGGGGCCCAAGGACUUGGGCCAUUUUCUACUGCUUUCCCAGGCCAUAGCAGAGAGCUGGAUUGGAAGAGGAGCAGCCAGGACUCGAACUGGUGCCCAUAUGGGAUGCCGGUGCUUUAGGCCAGGGCUUUAACCCACUGUGCCACAGCACUGGCUCCAAACACUCUCUUCUUAAAGUGACUUUCCCUGACUACCUAUGCACAUUUGCAAUCCAUUCCACUCCCAGAACUCCUUGUCUUCUUGUGAAAUUUUGCUGCUUUUCCCCUUAGUAUUUAUGUCUUUGAACAUCUAUAUAUUUGCUCAUUUUUUUAUUCUCCUGGUGCUUAAUUAGUGAAAAUCGAUCCUUC